UGUAGGUUUUGCAAGGCUUGUAUCCCAUAAUGUUCAGUGAAGGCAUAACAUUACUAAUGAACAUGUCAUUGAAAACAGAACAAAGGAGACAGAACCAUUUGUAUUUUAUUUAAAACCACUUUCAUUUACUUCUUAUUUUCAUUCUUUAGCAAUCUCCCCUCAGUAGAAGAAUCAUGGGAAAUGGAACAGAAUGUACAAAGAAUGAUGCCCACACUGAGCCCCAAUAGUACCAAGUGGAGUUGCUUUUACAAAAGAAAAAAUGUCAUCAUCACUAGAAUAAGUUAAAAAAAAUCCAUUCCACACUGCUGGUUCUCUAGGACCCCUACUGUCUUCCCACCAGAAAUUCUCUCUUGUUCCCUCUGCAUUAACUUGAUCUUUCCAUGACACAAAGGCAUGUAAAAAAUCAAAUAAUGUAGUCAAGUCAUGUAACAAGUUAAGCUUACUAUAAGGAAGAGUCCAGGACAGUUUUCACUGGCCUAAAUUGCCCAGAAAUGACCUGUGCUUUGAAAAAAACCUAUGCUUUAUAUAAGAUUGAGGGUACUGUUUCAUGACCUGGGGCAGAGUUUGGUUCAUCAUGUCUAAUUUCUCUACCAAUCCUUUCUGAUAUUGUUAAAAUGGGAUAGAACUAUCCUUUAACAAGACCAUGUGUUAGACUGCUUGGACUGCUCUAACAAAGUAUCACAAACUAAUGACUUAAGCAACACAAAUUUAUUGUUUGACAAUUUGAGAGCCUAGAGGUCUGAACUCAAGAUAGGAUCUGUCCUCUCCGAAGACUAUGAAGGGGAAUCUUUCCAUGCUUUUUUCCCAGCUUCUGCAGGUUGGCUGGCAAUCUUUGGUGUUCGUAGACUGCCACUGUAUCACCCAUCUCUGCUUUUAUCUUCACCUGUCAUUCUCCCUGUGGGUGUGUCCAUACCAUAUUCAAAUUUCCCUUUAGGAAAUUCAGGUGCAGUAUUAUACACCGGUAGUCCCAGCACUUGGGAGUCUGAGGCACGACAAUUACAUGAACCCAGGAUUUUGAGACCAACCUGGGAAACAUAAUGAAAAGUUGUCUCAAAAAAAAAAAAAAAAAUCCCUUGGGCUGGGAUUGUGGCUCAG
RNAcentral lists this long non-coding RNA (1095 nucleotides) under Marmota monax (woodchuck). Lineage: Eukaryota; Metazoa; Chordata; Mammalia; Rodentia; Sciuridae. The record is from RNAcentral.